RNAcentral lists this ribosomal RNA (442 nucleotides) under uncultured soil bacterium. RNAcentral's name for it is "bacterial SSU rRNA". It matches the Rfam family "Bacterial small subunit ribosomal RNA", at positions 26 to 518 of the family's 1533-position model. The record is from RNAcentral.
AGAACGAACGCUGGCGGCAUGCCUAACACAUGCAAGUCGAACGAGACCUUCGGGUCUAGUGGCGCACGGGUGCGUAACGCGUGGGAAUCUGCCCUUAGGUUCGGAAUAACAGUUAGAAAUGACUGCUAAUACCGGAUAAUGACGUAAGUCCAAAGAUUUAUCGCCUAGGGAUGAGCCCGCGUAGGAUUAGCUAGUUGGUGGGGUAAAAGCCUACCAAGGCGACGAUCCUUAGCUGGUCUGAGAGGAUGAUCAGCCACACUGGGACUGAGACACGGCCCAGACUCCUACGGGAGGCAGCAGUGGGGAAUAUUGGACAAUGGGCGAAAGCCUGAUCCAGCAAUGCCGCGUGAGUGAUGAAGGCCUUAGGUGUAAAGCUCUUUACCCGGGAUGAUAAUGACAGUACCGGAGAAUAAGCUCCGGCUAACUCCGCGCCAGCAGCCGC